Molecule: long non-coding RNA, 2465 nt
Organism: Cercocebus atys (sooty mangabey)
Lineage: Eukaryota; Metazoa; Chordata; Mammalia; Primates; Cercopithecidae
Exons: 3
Source: RefSeq, a predicted model, not a curated record
ACUAAAAGUUAAUCCACAGUUACUUAAGUGGAAAUUUUCAGAAAAUCCAUUUCAGAGCAAAUGUUACGUGAGAGUCUAAAUAAGCCACUGCCCUCCGUUGGACAGAAUAUCAGAUGCCCUGAUCAUAUUUACCAGUGGGUCAGAUUCCUCUAAGAUGUAACAGCUGUGUAAAGGAACACAGACUACAACCUUUGCCAGAAAGACUGUCGCCAGUCAUCUGACGAUCAGAUCUGGAGGUGUGAGACAGAAGACAAGUGUGAGGACAACCGGGAACAUGAGAACUUCUCAAGUAAGAAGAUACCGGUCCUUGUCCCCUAACACACACAGAAGGUCACUAAUGGCAUUCUGGUACAAACAGAGCAAAGGGAUCAAUGGUUCAUGGACCCUGCUGUUUCCCAGGUGCUAUUCCAGUGGCCAGAGGAACUUCCCAUCACUUCAAACUUUUGUUUUACUUGUUGUUGUUAUUUUUGGUCUUCUAUCAUUGACUCAUAGCUCUCUCACACAUUUUAAUGUAUUCGCUGCAUCAGGCCAAGGAAAACAUUUGCCUGGUGUGUGAAAAAGCCUCUGAUUACAGAAUGAACUUUGCCUCUCCAUAAUUUGAAGAAGUUAAGGAGGGUCCCUACCCUAAAGUUAUGUCCUACUUUGAUGCUCAAAAUCUUAGUAAAAUCACCGUGCAAAGGAAAGAGCACUGACUUUGGCAUCACACAGAUGAAACUUGGCUCUGCUAUUCUCUUGUAUUAUUGUGGGCAUGGCAUCUCCGACAUGAGGAUAAUAAUCAUUCUUCAUAAGGCUGUCUCAAUGAGUGACGAUAACACAUAUAAAGUCCUGGGCACAGUGCCUGACACACAGGACUCACUGAAACCCAAGGAUCUGGAUUAGAAAACACAUACAGCAUUCUUAAAAGUUAAAAGAAGACGAGUAGCUAUUUGUUUACAGACUAACUCAUCCAUCUAGAGAUUGAUCUCUGCCAAAUUCUCUGUAAUUCUGUUACCGUGUUAUUUAUGAAGAGCUGUGGCAUCGUGUUUCAGAAAUUACCAACCAGUCAGCACUGAUGGGUAUGUAUUUUUCUUGCUCACUCAGUGGCAAGAAACAUAUAUAAUAAAUUCUUAGGAACUUUAUCUCUUUCAGUUAGAGUCAAAAUAACUGCUGAUUCAAUGAUUUGCCACAAAAUCUAUUCCUGGGUAAAAGGGAGAACCACCUUCUGCAGAAAAGAAGUAUUUCAAUACUUCAGCAUUUCCAACAAGAAAGAGAGGUACCAAUGAGAACAAAAUAAGAAACUAUGUUCUAUGACUGAGAAAUUGUUUCUAAAUAUUUUUCUACUAUUUUUACUUUGUUCCCAAUGGAAAGAUAGCAACAGAUUAAAUGCUCACAUGCCCAUUUGAUUUUUUAAAAAAUUAAAUAAACUUAUUUUACUUUUAUGGUUGCAGAUAGGAAUUAUUAACCAUCUGUCUUUGUAUUAUUUAAAUGUUAAACAAAUAAACAUUAUUUUACAACCAGAAAACAGUUAUUCACAGACUUAUACAUUUAUUCCCCAAUAAUUUUUCUUUGCUGUUUAAAAAGAGCCUAAAGCUAGCAUCAUUUAAAUUAUUUUUAAAAUUCAUUACCUACAAUACUAAGAAAAACAGAUGAUAAUACAGUAUGUUAUUGUAAAUGAAAAAGGCCUUAAAGAGUUUUUUUUAAUUUACUAGAAGCUUCAAUUAUCUCCUUUUAGGAAAUAGGAAAAAAAAAUGACAACCUCAAUCAACUCACACAGUUAAAAGAAAUGAGACAGUUGACAGUUCUGCUAACGCUCUUACCUAGGCAAGGAUCUUCUCACAUGAGAACCGCAUAUGGAUAAAUCAAGUAAUUUUUUACUUCUCUACUUCUUCAAACACAGAAAUGAGUACACCUCUGGAAUCAAACACUAUAUCAUAGAAACUAAAUGGAAAGACAGUUUUUUGCCAUGUAGGGCAGAGAAUAGAGGAAAACUUAGAGUAAACAGGUGGAAAGACAAGUCUUAAGAUAUCCAAAGAGUAUGUUUUGACCCAAAUUUAUUGAAAGUAGAGAAAUACCCUUAAGAAGUCAAAAUAACCAGCCAAAAGAAAAUCUUUAUUGUAAACACUCUGAUGUGCACUCCAACCCAGUUACAGAUAUUAUCAUCUUGGCUAUUUAUAGCCAAAGGGCAAUGUGAUAGAUUGUGUCUAAGAUGGCUGCCAAUGACCUGCACCUUUUGAUAUUUAUGUCCUUGUACAACCUCCUCCUUUGAAUAUUGUCUGGACCUGGGAACUCACUUAAAAAUGACAGAUAUCACAAAAAUACUCUGGCUCCUGUCUUGCUUUCCUUUCUUGCCCUCUUGCUUGCUUUAAUGGAAGUCAUGUGCCAGGCUAUAAACUCCCCUAUGGGGAGGCCUACAUGGCAAGAAAUUGAGGAAGGCUGAUGGCCAGUGAGUAACUAAGGUCUUCAGUCUAACAACCACAAGGAACUGA